GAUGAAGAACGUAGUAAAAUGCGAUAAGUAAUGUGAAUUGCAGAAUUCAGUGAAUCAUCGAAUCUUUGAACGCACAUUGCGCCCGCCAGUAUUCUGGCGGGCAUGCCUGUUCGAGCGUCAUUUCAACCCUCAAGCACAGCUUGGUGUUGGGACUCGCGUUAAUUCGCGUUCCUCAAAUUGAUUGGCGGUCACGUCGAGCUUCCAUAGCGUAGUAGUAAAACCCUCGUUACUGGUAAUCGUCGCGGCCACGCCGUUAAGCCCCAACUUCUGAAUGUUGACCUCGGAUCAGGUAGGAAUACCCGCUGAACUUAAGCAUAUCAAUAAGCGGAGGA
RNAcentral lists this unclassified non-coding RNA (332 nucleotides) under soil metagenome. RNAcentral describes it as "partial contains 5.8S ribosomal RNA, internal transcribed spacer 2, and large subunit ribosomal RNA". The stretch from base 1 to 120 matches the Rfam family "5.8S ribosomal RNA", at positions 35 to 154 of the family's 154-position model. The record is from RNAcentral.